CUAUUCCAUUGCUGCUCAACAGGCCCACUGCCACACAGCCUCGGACCCACAUCAAACCCUGGAUUCCCUCUUAACCCUCUGGUUUUGUAAACCCUGACCAAGGUCACCUGCUGACACAACAAUCCGACACAACUCUCCACAGCCCCCUGAAUACUGGCAACAUGGCAGCUUGUGUGAGAGAGGGAUGCUGACGAAAGAGAAAAUAUUGCCAGAGCUCGGGUAAUGCUUCUCGAUUCGUUAGACUUGAGUGAACAGCCGCAUCCGUGUGUGUAUUUAAAGAUGAAAAGAAUAAAAUACAUUCUUAACUCUG
Molecule: long non-coding RNA, 310 nt
Organism: Haliotis rubra (blacklip abalone)
Lineage: Eukaryota; Metazoa; Mollusca; Gastropoda; Lepetellida; Haliotidae
Exons: 3
Source: RefSeq, a predicted model, not a curated record